GUUGACCUCGGAUCAGGUAGGAAUACCCGCUGAACUUAAGCAUAUCAAUAAGCGGAGGAAC
Molecule: ribosomal RNA, 61 nt
Filed under: Colletotrichum gloeosporioides
Lineage: Eukaryota; Fungi; Ascomycota; Sordariomycetes; Glomerellales; Glomerellaceae
Description: partial 28S ribosomal RNA
Rfam family: Eukaryotic large subunit ribosomal RNA
Source: RNAcentral